AAAAUUAGAUCAACCCAAUUAAAAUAAGUCUUAACUCAAUUAAGAACCUAAUUUAAUCAGAUUAAAUUAAAUUUAAAUCUGAUUUAAUUUUCUAAUCAAAUUAGAAAUUAGAUUGACCCAAGUCCUAGUUGAACUAGGAUUAGUUUUUCCUUGCACUUGGCUUAUCCAAUAAACCAAUUGGACUUGAUCCAAUCAAGUCCAAACUAAAUCUAAUUAAAUUAUAUUUAAUUAGACUUAAUCUCAGUCUAUUGGCUUAAUCAAAUUAAGCC
Molecule: long non-coding RNA, 269 nt
Filed under: Elaeis guineensis (African oil palm)
Lineage: Eukaryota; Viridiplantae; Streptophyta; Magnoliopsida; Arecales; Arecaceae
Description: long non-coding RNA (EGUI_LNC076611)
Source: RNAcentral